UCGGGAAUCUUGCACAAUGGGCGAAAGCCUGAUGCAGCAACGCCGUGUGAGCGAGGAAGGUCUUCGGAUCGUAAAGCUCUGUUGUUGGGGACGAAGGGCGAAGGGUUAAUAGCCCCUAGCCUGACGGUACCCUUCGAGGAAGCCCCGGCUAACUACGUGCCAGCAGCCGCGGUAAUACAGAGGGGGCAAGCGUUGUCCGGACUUACUGGGCGUAAAGCGCACGCAGGUGGUAACGCAAGUGGGGUGUGAAAGCCGCCAGCUCAACUGGCGGAGGCCAUCCCAAACUGCGUCACUUGAGGCCUGUAGAGGUAUGUGGAAUUGCCGGUGUAGUGGUGAAAUGCGUAGAGAUCGGCAGGAACACCCAGGGGGAAGCCAGCAUACUGGACAGGUCCUGACACUCAGGUGCGACAGCGUGGGGAGCGAACCGGAUUAGAUACCCGGGUAGUCC
This 448-nucleotide ribosomal RNA is filed under the name uncultured prokaryote. RNAcentral describes it as "bacterial SSU rRNA". It matches the Rfam family "Bacterial small subunit ribosomal RNA", at positions 355 to 796 of the family's 1533-position model. The record is from RNAcentral.